This is a small nuclear RNA of Jaculus jaculus (lesser Egyptian jerboa), 107 nucleotides long. The record is from Ensembl. Lineage: Eukaryota; Metazoa; Chordata; Mammalia; Rodentia; Dipodidae.
GUGCCAGCUUCAGGAGCACAUAGACUAAAAUCAGAAUAAUACAGUGAAGAUUAGCAGGGCCCCUGUACAAGGAUUAUAUGCAAAUUUGUGAAGCACUCCAUAUUUUU